ACGGGUGAGUAAUGUCUGGGGAUCUGCCCGAUAGAGGGGGAUAACCACUGGAAACGGUGGCAAAUACCGCAUAACGUCGCAAGACCAAAGAGGGGGACCUUCGGGCCUCUCACUAUCGGAUGAACCCAGAUGGGAUUAGCUAGUAGGCGGGGUAACGGCCCACCUAGGCGACGAUCCCUAGCUGGUCUGAGAGGAUGACCAGCCACACUGGAACUGAGACACGGUCCAGACUCCUACGGGAGGCAGCAGUGGGGAAUAUUGCACAAUGGGCGCAAGCCUGAUGCAGCCAUGCCGCGUGUAUGAAGAAGGCCUUCGGGUUGUAAAGUACUUUCAGCGGGGAGGAAGGCGAUGUGGUUAAUAACCGCAUUGAUUGACGUUACCCGCAGAAGAAGCACCGGCUAACUCCGUGCCAGCAGCCGCGGUAAUACGGAGGGUGCAAGCGUUAAUCGGAAUUACUGGGCGUAAAGCGCACGCAGGCGGUCUGUUAAGUCAGAUGUGAAAUCCCCGGGCUUAACCUGGGAACUGCAUUUGAAACUGGCAGGCUUGAGUCUCGUAGAGGGGGGUAGAAUUCCAGGUGUAG
RNAcentral lists this ribosomal RNA (580 nucleotides) under uncultured bacterium. RNAcentral's name for it is "bacterial SSU rRNA". It matches the Rfam family "Bacterial small subunit ribosomal RNA", at positions 102 to 678 of the family's 1533-position model. The record is from RNAcentral.